RNAcentral lists this long non-coding RNA (526 nucleotides) under Vigna radiata. Its description in RNAcentral is "long non-coding RNA (VRAD_LNC017485)". The record is from RNAcentral. Lineage: Eukaryota; Viridiplantae; Streptophyta; Magnoliopsida; Fabales; Fabaceae.
UCUUGGUCCCCUGUGUACAAAAAAGUGGUCCCUUGUGAAGUACUUUCUGUAAAAAUUCAAGAAAUCAUUUGCAUAAACGUUUACCACCUAUUGGUAAACGUUUACACCACCCAUUUUCAAUGCACUUGACUCAGGAUUUCAUCCAACCACUUUUUUUGAACACAACUCCUUCCUCAAUGGAAUUUGGGGUCCCCAAAAUCAACUCUCCACCCCCAACACACAACUUAAAACCAAAAAAAUCAAAAUCCCAUGCAAAUUUUGCCAAAAUGUUAAAAUUUGACAUCUUGGUCCCCUGUGUACAAAAAAGUGGUCCCUAGUGAAGGACUUUCUGUAGAAAUUCAAUAAAGCAUUCGCGUAAACGUUUUUACCCCCAUUUUCUAAACCAUUACAACACCUUCUUUCAAUGAACCAGGUUUCUCUAUUCAACUAAGAAUGUUGCCAAUGUCCAAAUGCAUUGUUUCUUUCAUCCAUUAAGUCCAACAUCAAUAAAAAUAUCUGUCAACUAUAAUAUUUAACAACUGUAUCG